This 884-nucleotide ribosomal RNA is filed under the name Megalocotyle marginata. Its description in RNAcentral is "SSU rRNA". It matches the Rfam family "Eukaryotic small subunit ribosomal RNA", at positions 901 to 1762 of the family's 1831-position model. The record is from RNAcentral. Lineage: Eukaryota; Metazoa; Platyhelminthes; Monogenea; Capsalidea; Capsalidae.
CGCGAAGAAGUUGAAAUUUCAUUGGACCGUUGCCAGACACUUAAAGCGAAAGCAUCUGCUAGUAUGUUCAUUUACAGAGCGAAAGUCAGAGUCGAAGACGAUCAGAUACGUCUAGUUCUGACCAUAAACGAUGCCAUCUGAUAAUCCGUGGUCUCUCCAUUCACGUGGGAUCACGGGCAGUCCCCGGGAAACCUGUAAGUUUAUGGGUUCCGGGGAAAGUAUGGUUGCAAAGCUGAAACUUAAAGGAAUUGACGGAAGGGCACCACCAGGAGUGGAGCUUGCGGCUUAAUUGACUCAACACGGGAAAACUCACCCGGGCCGGACACUAUGUGGAUUGACAGAUUGAUAGCUCUUUCAUGAUUCAGUGGCUAGUGGUGCAUGGCCGUUCUUAGUUCGUGGUAUGAGUUGUCUGGUUAAUUCCGUUAACGAACGAGACUCCAUCCUGCUAAUUAGUACGCAGAUCAGCUUAUUUGAUGUCUAUGAUUUGUCCAGAUAAGGGCAUGGGAGAGUCACUUAAGUCUGUGAUGCUGCUUAGAGGCACAGGUGGAUAAGACAAAACCACAUGAAAAGGAGCAAUAACAGGUCUGUGAUGCCCUUAGAUGUCCGGGGCCGCACGCGUGCUACAAUGAUAGUGGUAGAGAGUCUGCCUUUUUGGCCCGAAAGGGUUGGGUAAACUUUUCAAUCACUAUCAUGACUGGGAUCGGGAUUUGUAAUUAUCUCCCGUGAACCAGGAAUUCCUAGUAAGCACAAGUCAUAAGCUUGUGCUGAAUACGUCCCUGCCCUUUGUACACACCGCCCGUCGCUACUACCGAUUGAAUGGUUUAGCAAGGCCAAUGGAUUGGUGCUCCGUUUGCGCAAGCGACAGAGUGCUGAAAAGCUGCCGA